This is a long non-coding RNA of Saccostrea echinata, 164 nucleotides long. RefSeq lists it as uncharacterized. The transcript is spliced from 2 exons. The record is from RefSeq and is a predicted model, not a curated record. NCBI's taxonomy places the organism in Eukaryota, Metazoa, Mollusca, Bivalvia, Ostreida, Ostreidae.
GCAAAAGCUUGGUGUGGACAAGCUGAGAAAACAUACGUUCAACAGGUAAUCAUUCUGAAUGGAAGAUUUUCGCCUGGGUUUGCUGGCUUCUGAAGUCUGAAAAUCGUGCAUGCAGUAGAGAAGAGUCAAAGUCAAUUGUGAGAAAGCAAAGUUCAGUGUCAAAU